GGUAAGGCCCUUCGGGGUACACGAGCGGCGAACGGGUGAGUAACACGUGGGUGAUCUGCCUCGCACUCUGGGAUAAGCCUGGGAAACUGGGUCUAAUACCGGAUAUGACCUUACAUCGCAUGGUGUUUGGUGGAAAGAUUUAUCGGUGCGAGAUGGGCCCGCGGCCUAUCAGCUUGUUGGUGGGGUAAUGGCCUACCAAGGCGACGACGGGUAGCCGGCCUGAGAGGGCGACCGGCCACACUGGGACUGAGACACGGCCCAGACUCCUACGGGAGGCAGCAGUGGGGAAUAUUGCACAAUGGGCGAAAGCCUGAUGCAGCGACGCCGCGUGAGGGAUGACGGCCUUCGGGUUGUAAACCUCUUUCGACAGGGACGAAGCGCAAGUGACGGUACCUGUAGAAGAAGCACCGGCCAACUACGUGCCAGCAGCCGCGGUAAUACGUAGGGUGCGAGCGUUGUCCGGAAUUACUGGGCGUAAAGAGCUUGUAGGCGGCUUGUCGCGUCGAUCGUGAAAACUUGGGGCUCAACCCCAAGCUUGCGGUCGAUACGGGCAGGCUUGAGUACUUCAGGGGAGACUGGAAUUCCUGGUGUAGCGGUGAAAUGCGCAGAUAUUCAGGAGGAACACCGGUGGCGAAGGCGGGUCUCUGGGAAGUAACUGACGCUGAGAAGCGAAAGCGUGGGUAGCGAACAGGAUUAGAUACCCUGGUAGUCCACGCCGUAAACGGUGGGUACUAGGUGUGGGUUUCCUUCCACGGGAUCCGUGCCGUAGCUAACGCAUUAAGUACCCCGCCUGGGGAGUACGGCCGCAAGGCUAAAACUCAAAGGAAUUGACGGGGGCCCGCACAAGCGGCGGAGCAUGUGGAUUAAUUCGAUGCAACGCGAAGAACCUUACCUGGGUUUGACAUACACCGGAAACCUGCAGAGAUGUAGGCCCCCUUGUGGUCGGUGUACAGGUGGUGCAUGGCUGUCGUCAGCUCGUGUCGUGAGAUGUUGGGUUAAGUCCCGCAACGAGCGCAACCCUUAUCUUAUGUUGCCAGCGCGUAAUGGCGGGGACUCGUGAGAGACUGCCGGGGUCAACUCGGAGGAAGGUGGGGACGACGUCAAGUCAUCAUGCCCCUUAUGUCCAGGGCUUCACACAUGCUACAAUGGCCGGUACAGAGGGCUGCGAUACCGUGAGGUGGAGCGAAUCCCUUAAAGCCGGUCUCAGUUCGGAUCGGGGUCUGCAACUCGACCCCGUGAAGUUGGAGUCGCUAGUAAUCGCAGAUCAGCAACGCUGCGGUGAAUACGUUCCCGGGCCUUGUACACACCGCCCGUCACGUCAUGAAAGUCGGUAACACCCGAAGCCGGUGGCCUAACCCCUUGUGGGA
RNAcentral lists this ribosomal RNA (1367 nucleotides) under Nocardia cyriacigeorgica. RNAcentral describes it as "bacterial SSU rRNA". It matches the Rfam family "Bacterial small subunit ribosomal RNA". The record is from RNAcentral. Lineage: Bacteria; Bacillati; Actinomycetota; Actinomycetes; Mycobacteriales; Nocardiaceae.